This is an RNA transcript of Solea solea (common sole), 2708 nucleotides long. It is a transcript of the gene named shieldin complex subunit 2, with no coding region annotated. The transcript has 14 exons. NCBI's taxonomy places the organism in Eukaryota, Metazoa, Chordata, Actinopteri, Pleuronectiformes, Soleidae. The record is from RefSeq and is a predicted model, not a curated record.
GCCCCUUCCUGUUAAAGUACACAGCCAUCUGAACGCGUGUGCGCGUGACCAGCCGCCGCCACACGCGACCGAAUCCGUAGAUUAUUUUCACCAAGUGACGCGAGACACUUAACGAACGGCAGGCUCAGUGUUGUUGGGCGUAAAAUGAAAUAAUCCCAUGACCUCUAACCUCCAGACAAACAGGACUUUGGGGGGCCCUCAUGUCGUAGGCGGUUUCAGAGCGUAGUGUCUCUGCAUCACUGAUCACAGUUUUAAUGGAAAUCAUGUGUGAGCGGCAGAAGAUCCAUGUCUUCCUGGGAGCUCCUCCCUCCUUUGGCCCAGGCUUGGUGUCUGAAGCUGGGCAGGAGAGUGAGGCUCCUCCCCCUGCUGGGUGGAGACACCUGGAGCUCACCUGGAGAGGUGGACGUCUGAGGCCUGCGACAGGUUCUGAUGAAGUGCGGGAAGAACGAGUGCGAACGAGCUCGGAUUACGAUGCCGUAAAGAUUCUGUGCUCCAAUCAUCGGGAACCUCCUGAGAUACUCGAGAGUCUUCAGGAUCAAUCAGGUCCUGAGAAGGAGGAUCAGUGUUUUGCUUCUGUUCAUGAGUAUCUGAACAGCUGCUUCCCUGACGCUCAACCUGAACCUGAACCUGAACCUGAACCUUCACAUCAUAAACCCACACCAGCACACCCUCCUCUGUGCACAGACACUCAGUUCCUCGCCACCUGGACACUGAGUCAGGCCUUAAUCCUGAGAGGCAGCCAAAACAUCCAAUUGGCACUUAGCCCAGAAAAAGCCCCGCCUCCUCAAACACCACCCAAACAAGCUAAGACCCCGCCCGCUGUCUCCUCCAGCACACCGGAGCUGUUCAGCCCCGUCACGCCGUCACCUGGAGCCUCUGCCGAGCUCUUCAGCCAAAUCUGCUUAACCCCGCCACGGGUCACAAAAGGGGGUGUCGUCCUGGAGGCCACUGCAGGGGGCGUGCUCUGCUCCCAGGAGGCGGAGACCACAACCAACCUCCACUCUCCCACCAAAUGCCCUAGUGUCAAGAAACCUCGCAAAUCCGAGGCGCCAACGAGCCGCGGCACGGCCGCGCUCCGCUGUUCCACCACUCCUCUGGUCCAGUGUCUCAAACCAGGGCCGAGGUUCUCGGUUCUGGUGGCCGUGGUUCAUCCCUGUCACCUGAAAGAGGUCAAGGUGAGGUCUGGUCCGUCCGCCGGGACAUUUGUCCCUCUGGCGUCCAUCGUGGUGACGGAUGAGUCGGACGUUGAGAUGAAGGUGGUUCUGUGGCGGCGGGCGGCGUUCUGGGCGUUGACCGUGAGUCCUGGAGACGUUCUGCUCAUCACGGGCCUGCAGGUGAACGAGGACAAGUGGAGAGGAGAGACUGUGCUGCAGUCCACCUUCAGCAGUAAACUGCUCAGCCUCGGACAGAUCACAGUGUCCACUUCACCACCAGCUCCUCAGCAGGUCGAUGCUCACUCUCUCAGUCGUCUGUGUUCAUUUCUCCGUGAGCGGCGUCCUCUGCUGGUGUCCGUGUGUCUCCGCCCUCCUCAGGACCUGAACCGCCUCCCUUACGCCACCCUGAGGUCACUGAGUGUCAACACACUGGUCCACGCACUGCUGCGAGUCACACACACACACCUGAGCACAGAGUGGCGUGGAGAGGCGGAGUCUCGCUGCAGGUCAGCAGUUCAACUGAAAGCUGUUGUGACUGUGGAGCAGCCCGGCGGACAGCAGGGGGCGCUGCUGCUGUGGGGAGCUGCUGUGGAGUGGCUGCCUCGCUUCAGUGCAGACAAAGUGGCCGUGUGGGACUUCCACUUCCUCCUGGUGAGGGACAGUUUAACCUCUGACCUCCUCGAGCUGCACUCCACCCCCUGGAGCUCCGCCCACCGGCUGGACCCCACUGACCGGCGUCUGCGGGACUUCCUCGCUCCUCGACACAGUCCUGCGGGAGAUGGCGUGGAGCUGGACGUGGACACGCUGCUGUCGCAGAAAUACAGCGGUGUGGUGGAGCUCAGAGUCCAGGUCGCCGCCUUUAGCUUCCAGAACUCUCCGUCCUCCCAGAAUGCACCUCGGCUGUUAAUGGACAGCUCCACGCCGCUGGACGGAGUCCUGGAGGCGCUGAGCGGAGACGCCACGUACGCCGGCUGCGGUCGCUGCUCCGCCGAGCUCAGCACCGACACCAACGGCAUCUACAGCCCCUGUUACCCGUGCCUGCCCCUCACUGGUGUACGCCGGUACUACAGGCCAGGUGUGCUGACUGUGAGUGGGCGGGGCUAUAGUCAGCUGUGUGUUCUGGCUCCUCCUGUUCCUCUACAGAAAAUCCUCGAAGCUCCACCCGAUAAACUCCACAGGAGCUCAGCUCCUGGCUCGCAGGUGAAGCUCAUCCAGGUGGCAGCAGAGAGGCUCCACGCCCUCCUCUCCCUCCCAAAGAAAACCUUCGUCAUCACCAUCAGGAGCCACUUCCUGUGCGACGAGAACAGCGCCCCCCUCAGUCAGGACUUCACGCUGCUUGACCUUCAGUUACCGACUGAUCGUAAAUAAUCAGUAAAACCUCAAGGUGACAGAACAAUGUUCUGUUUGUUUACAUCGGCAAGAACAAUGGUAAAUUCAUGACGUCAUCUUCUUGAUGGACACUGACACUUCAGCACAGGACGAAACAAACAAAGAUGUCUAUUUACUUCCUGUAUGUUGUUGACGUUGAAAUAAAAGGGCUGCCUCUGUCGUUUA